Molecule: transfer RNA, 80 nt
Filed under: Mogibacterium diversum
Lineage: Bacteria; Bacillati; Bacillota; Clostridia; Peptostreptococcales; Anaerovoracaceae
Description: tRNA-Cys
Rfam family: tRNA (bases 7-77)
About the family: Transfer RNA (tRNA) molecules are approximately 80 nucleotides in length.
Source: RNAcentral
GGCGGUGGCGCGUUGGCGGAGCGGUUACGCAGAGGUCUGCAAAACCUUUAUCCCCAGUUCGAAUCUGGGUGUCGCCUCCA